CGCGGACCGGAAAGUUGCGGGUGAAAUCCCGGGGCUCAACCCCGGAACUGCCUUCAAAACUAUCGGUCUGGAGUUCGAGAGAGGUGAGUGGAAUUCCGAGUGUAGAGGUGAAAUUCGUAAUAUUCGGAGGAACACCAGUGGCGAACGCG
RNAcentral lists this ribosomal RNA (149 nucleotides) under uncultured Paracoccus sp. RNAcentral's name for it is "partial 16S ribosomal RNA". It matches the Rfam family "Bacterial small subunit ribosomal RNA", at positions 575 to 723 of the family's 1533-position model. Lineage: Bacteria; Pseudomonadati; Pseudomonadota; Alphaproteobacteria; Rhodobacterales; Paracoccaceae. The record is from RNAcentral.